Molecule: transfer RNA, 74 nt
Filed under: Pangasianodon gigas (Mekong giant catfish)
Lineage: Eukaryota; Metazoa; Chordata; Actinopteri; Siluriformes; Pangasiidae
Description: tRNA-Thr
Rfam family: tRNA
About the family: Transfer RNA (tRNA) molecules are approximately 80 nucleotides in length. Their secondary structure includes four short double-helical elements and three loops (D, anti-codon, and T loops). Further hydrogen bonds mediate the characteristic L-shaped molecular structure. tRNAs have two regions of fundamental functional importance: the anti-codon, which is responsible for specific mRNA codon recognition, and the 3' end, to which the tRNAs corresponding amino acid is attached (by aminoacyl-tRNA synthetases). tRNAs cope with the degeneracy of the genetic code in two manners: having more than one tRNA (with a specific anti-codon) for a particular amino acid; and 'wobble' base-pairing, i.e. permitting non-standard base-pairing at the 3rd anti-codon position.
Source: RNAcentral
GGCGCUGUGGCCUAGUUGGUUAAAGCGCCUGUCUAGUAAACAGGAGAUCCUGGGUUCGAAUCCCAGCAGUGCCU